CCUACGGGAGGCAGCAGUAGGGAAUAUUGCUCAAUGGGGGAAACCCUGAAGCAGCAACGCCGCGUGGAGGAUGAAGGUUUUCGGAUUGUAAACUCCUUUUGUUAGAGAAGAUAAUGACGGUAUCUAACGAAUAAGCAACGGCUAACUCCGUGCCAGCAGCCGCGGUAAUACGGAGGGUGCAAGCGUUACUAGGAAUCACUGGGCGUAAAGCGCGCGUAGACGGGAUAGCAAGUCAGAUGUGAAAUCCUAUGGCUUAACCAUAGAACUGCAUUUGAAACUGUUAUUCUAGAGUAUGGGAGAGGUAGGUGGAAUUCGUGGUGUAGGGGUAAAAUCCGUAGAUAUCAAGAGGAAGACACAUUGCGAAGGCGACCUGCUAGAACAUAACUGACGCUGAUGCGCGAAAGCGUGGGGAGCAAACAGGAUUAGAUACCCUUGUAGUC
RNAcentral lists this ribosomal RNA (440 nucleotides) under uncultured bacterium. Its description in RNAcentral is "partial 16S ribosomal RNA". It matches the Rfam family "Bacterial small subunit ribosomal RNA", at positions 338 to 795 of the family's 1533-position model. The record is from RNAcentral.